RNAcentral lists this ribosomal RNA (504 nucleotides) under Callinectes sapidus (blue crab). RNAcentral describes it as "partial large subunit ribosomal RNA". It matches the Rfam family "Bacterial large subunit ribosomal RNA", at positions 1854 to 2605 of the family's 2925-position model. Lineage: Eukaryota; Metazoa; Arthropoda; Malacostraca; Decapoda; Portunidae. The record is from RNAcentral.
CUAGCCUGCUCNCUGACAUAAAGUGUUAAAUAGCCGCGGUAUCUUGACCGUGCAAAGGUAGCAUAAUCAUUAGUUUCUUAAUUGGGAACUUGUAUGAAUGGUUGGACAAAGAAAAAUCUGUCUCUUGCACUGAAAUUGAAUUUAACUUCUAAGUGAAAAGGCUUAGAUUAUCCAGAGGGACGAUAAGACCCUAUAAAGCUUUAUAAAUUUAUUAAUUUCGUUUAUUUUUUAUUAUAAUAAUGAUGAUAAGAGAAUUUAUUUGGUUGGGGCAACCGAAGUAUAAUUUUAAAUAACUGCUAUAAUUUAAUACAAUGAUUUUUGUCUUAUACAAUAAUUGAUCCUCAAAGAGAUUAAAGACCAAGUUACUUUAGGGAUAACAGCGUAAUUUAUCCUGAGAGUUCUUAUCAAAGGAAAAGCUUGCGACCUCGAUGUUGAAUUAAAAUGUCUACCUAGUGCAGCAGCUAGGAAAGAAGGUCUGUUCGACCUUUAAUUUUUUACAUGAUC